ACCAGAAUCAGCAAUGGCAGCCUCAACAAUGGCCCUCUCUUCCCCUUCUCUCGCCGGAAAGGCUGUGAAGCUGUCUCCCUCAGCUCCUGAGUUGAUGGGAAACGGCCGUGUGUCCAUGAGAAAGACGGCGUCCAAAUCUGUUUCCUCCGGCAGCCCAUGGUACGGUCCGGACAGAGUCAAAUACUUGGGUCCAUUCUCCGGCGAGCCACCGUCCUACUUGACCGGUGAAUUCCCAGGUGACUACGGCUGGGACACUGCUGGUCUCUCUGCUGACCCAGAAACCUUUGCUAAGAACAGAGAGCUGGAAGUCAUUCACUGCAGAUGGGCCAUGCUCGGAGCUCUUGGCUGUGUCUUCCCUGAGCUCUUAUCUCGCAACGGUGUUAAGUUCGGUGAGGCUGUUUGGUUCAAGGCAGGAUCUCAGAUUUUCAGCGAAGGUGGUUUGGACUACUUGGGUAACCCAAGCUUGAUCCAUGCACAGAGCAUCUUAGCCAUCUGGGCUACACAGGUGAUUUUGAUGGGUGCCGUGGAGGGUUACAGAGUUGCAGGCGGUCCACUGGGAGAGGUGACCGAUCCCAUUUACCCUGGUGGUAGCUUUGACCCAUUGGGUCUGGCUGAUGACCCAGAAGCCUUUGCUGAGCUCAAAGUCAAGGAAAUUAAGAAUGGUCGGUUAGCCAUGUUCUCUAUGUUCGGUUUCUUUGUUCAGGCCAUUGUUACAGGAAAAGGUCCAUUGGAGAACUUGGCUGACCACCUUGCUGAUCCUGUAAACAACAAUGCCUGGGCUUACGCCACCAACUUCGUUCCUGGAAAAUGAGCUUGUAAUUGAAAUUAAUGUGUGAUUUUCAGAUUUUAAUUCAAGGUGGCGGUGUGU
RNAcentral lists this long non-coding RNA (868 nucleotides) under Carica papaya (papaya). RNAcentral describes it as "long non-coding RNA (CPAP_LNC011353)". Lineage: Eukaryota; Viridiplantae; Streptophyta; Magnoliopsida; Brassicales; Caricaceae. The record is from RNAcentral.